This 490-nucleotide ribosomal RNA is filed under the name uncultured bacterium. RNAcentral describes it as "partial 16S ribosomal RNA". It matches the Rfam family "Bacterial small subunit ribosomal RNA", at positions 28 to 507 of the family's 1533-position model. The record is from RNAcentral.
GAUGGACGCUAGCUACAGGCUUAACACAUGCAAGUCGAGGGGCAGCAUGGUCUUAGCUUGCUAAGGCCGAUGGCGACCGGCGCACGGGUGAGUAACACGUAUCCAACCUGCCGUCUACUCUUGGACAGCCUUCUGAAAGGAAGAUUAAUACAAGAUGGCAUCAUGAGUCCGCAUGUUCACAUGAUUAAAGGUAUUCCGGUAGACGAUGGGGAUGCGUUCCAUUAGAUAGUAGGCGGGGUAACGGCCCACCUAGUCUUCGAUGGAUAGGGGUUCUGAGAGGAAGGUCCCCCACAUUGGAACUGAGACACGGUCCAAACUCCUACGGGAGGCAGCAGUGAGGAAUAUUGGUCAAUGGGCGAGAGCCUGAACCAGCCAAGUAGCGUGAAGGAUGACUGCCCUAUGGGUUGUAAACUUCUUUUAGAAAGGAAUAAAGUCGGGUAUGGAUACCCGUUUGCAUGUACUUUAUGAAUAAGGAGCGGCUAACUCCGUG